GGCGCUCUAAUAUCUAUAAUGAGAGUAGCUUUUGAGCAAAGGUCCCUCAACAACCAGGUCAAACUCACUCUUCAAGACCUAGCUAAGCUCUUCAGCAUGGUGUAAGAUAUUUUGUCUUGAAAUGUAUUCAAAUGCCAAUGCAGAAAAGGUAAAUAAAUGUCCUUAAAGGCACACUACAGUAUUCUGGGCACUCUAUUGACAUCUAUGUACUGCCACAAUAAUGGUCUUUCUAACAAAGUAUUAAACUAGUAAAUGUUCCAUGCAUUGUUUUUGUUCCCCCAUAUACAGCAAUUCUCUGGUUUCUGCUGUUGGUACUAAGACAAAGAUCGUUCCUGCCACGGGGGGAGCAUAUUGACGAAGAGGAAUACAAUUGUUUUUUUGUUUUUUUCCUGGACUGAAGUACUGUUCUGUCCUGCAGUAUUCUGAUGCUACUAUCCUGAAUCUUGAUUCUUGGAUAAUAUUUUCCCCAAACAUUUAAUGCACACUGGAUCUGGGUUUAGGUUUGCUAUUGAGCUGCACCCCACUGGAGAGGCUACUAAGUAUACAACCACCAUCAACUAUGUCUAGGAGGAUGAGGAAGAUACAGUUAGAGUACAGGCUGAAGAGAGGCUGCUGCCGAAUAUCACUUUGGCCAGCUUUUCUACAACAUCACUUUUCCUUUGUCCCAGGGUGGGAAAUCCACUAGAGAUCUGAACGUUCCUAAUGCCCUCAAAACACCAAACCUGAAUGCACCACAACUUGGCUUGGACAUUGCAUCCAUUGGCAUUCCUCUUCCUGAGAUCUUCAUUCCUGAGGGUAUGUCACUGUCUGUACCUACUCUUGGAAUGGUGUCCGGAAAACUAAGCAGCAACUUUUACAACCUAGAAGCAGCGGCGUCUGCUGGCAGAGAUGCUGUUGCACAUCCAAGCUAUUCUGCUAUGGUUGAAGUCACUGGAACAUGUCCUGUUGAUCUUUUCUCUGUAAAUAUUGAAGGUACAUAAAAUAACAGUAAUUCUCCCCCCUAAAAACUGCAUCACUGUGUGCACCUGAUUUAAAUGGGGUUUUUUUUACCAUUAUUUUCCAGGAUCUGUUCUGGUUGAGGCCACACCUGAUGAUUCUUUCAGAGUCAGAAUCUUGGCAGGGUCAAGUGAUUAGUCUGGGGUGGCAACAAAAUGUCUAACUGGGGGGGUGGCGGCGGCACAUGGGGGGCCAGGCUUCUGUCCAGGGGGCUGCGGCCACCCCUGGCGCCGCCUCUAGAACCGCCCUUUCUCCAGAGGCAGCAUUUUCCUGGUUUCAGACACGGCCUAUAUUUUCUAUCAUAAGGCUAUUCCUUUAAAGAAUAGUUCACUCUAAAAUAAUUAUUUUGAUCAUUCACUCACCCUUAUGUUGUCACAAACUCACAUGACUUCCUUUUUUCCAUGGAAUAAGCAGAAAGAUAUAUAUACAGGUGCAUCUCAAUAAAUUAGAA
Molecule: RNA transcript, 1447 nt
Organism: Myxocyprinus asiaticus (Chinese sucker)
Lineage: Eukaryota; Metazoa; Chordata; Actinopteri; Cypriniformes; Catostomidae
Gene name: apolipoprotein B-100-like
Exons: 2
Source: RefSeq, a predicted model, not a curated record